CGGAGGGUGCAAGCGUUAAUCGGAAUUACUGGGCGUAAAGCGCACGCAGGCGGUCUGUCAAGUCGGAUGUGAAAUCCCCGGGCUCAACCUGGGAACUGCAUCCGAAACUGGCAGGCUUGAGUCUCGUAGAGGGGGUAGAAUUCCAGGUGUAGCGGUGAAAUGCGUAGAGAUCUGGAGGAAUACCGGUGGCGAAGGCGGCCCCCUGGACGAAGACUGACGCUCAGGUGCGAAAGCGUGGGGAGCAAACAGGAUU
Molecule: ribosomal RNA, 253 nt
Filed under: uncultured bacterium
Lineage: Bacteria
Description: partial 16S ribosomal RNA
Rfam family: Bacterial small subunit ribosomal RNA
Source: RNAcentral